This is a non-coding RNA of Cyanistes caeruleus (blue tit), 5920 nucleotides long. NCBI's taxonomy places the organism in Eukaryota, Metazoa, Chordata, Aves, Passeriformes, Paridae. The record is from RefSeq and is a predicted model, not a curated record.
CCGAGCACACGCCGCCCCGGUGGCUCACUUCCGCCACAGGCGCCGUCCCGCUUCCGCCUCCGGGACGCGGCCAAACACGGCUGGUGACGCCGCCAGCGACGGCGGUUGAUUCUACGGCUCACAGAGCGGCCGCGGCGAGAAGAGCGGCGCGGGCGGGCCGCGUUUCGGUGGGGCGGUGUUUUCGAGGGCGGUCCGGGCUCGAUGCGGUGGAGACGGACACUCCCCGGUCACAAAACCAUAAAAUCCUGGGAUCAUGGGGUCGUCAAGGCUGGAAAAGGCCUUUGAGAUCAUCUAGUUUUACCGCCAGCGCAGCACUGCUGGUGUAACCCCUAAACCAGACAAACAGUUUCAAACAGAACUUGUCGCUCUGCAAUUUUGGACUGAGAUUUCGGGGCUUGAAGUUAUUAACCAAGUGAUGCCCAGGAUUGGACAACUUGGUGGGUCUGGAGCCUUAACCAUUGAACAGAUGCCCUAAGUACUAGAGUGGGCCAGGUGUGUUGUUUGUUUGGUUCUGCCAAAAAUACAGAUUUCUGAGGAAUACAGGAAAACAAGGUUUUUUUUUUUCCUUAUGUGCUGUUGUAAAGACACGCUACUUAAUAUUUGUAGGAAAUUAAUAGGAGAAGAAGUCAUUUCAUCCCACUGCCAUUUUCUCCAGGCAGCACUUACUUCAGAGCAAGUUGAUAUUUUUUUCCUGUUAGAUACAAAUUCACAGAAAAAAGCACACGGCACCUUUGCUUCUUCCUACUAGAAUCAAUAAUUACAGCAAACCAGCAUGAAGAUGGCAUCAUUCAGGUGUAUCUAUAUAAAUGCAAAGUUGGGUGACCCAGCAUGGCACGUGGCAGUGUCACUGCAGCUGAGACUGCAUGUACACAAGGCCAGCAGGUCUUUAGCAACACCUCCCUCCAGCUGCUGUGGAACAGUAGAAGAAGAAGAACAGUAGAAGGCCUUGGUGGUUUUACGAAAUAAACUAUAAAUAUUACUUCUGUGUAUCAGAGAGAUAUCAUUAUACUGGCAGAUGGCAUGGAUAGCCAUUUCUUAAACUACUGCACUGUUGAUGGUCAGGGACAUCAGUGGGCUGACUCGCACGGCCGUGUUUGUUUUCAUUGUAAGUAAAAGCAGAAAUACGCCUAAUAAGUUCACUGCAUCUGCUUGGCUGUUUCAUGCACACUGCCUGGCAGUAGCACAGCACUAAUUGCUGACAUUUGUGGGUCUGCAGGCAGUUGUCUUUUCAUUCUAUGGAUGAUUCAGAAACUGGUGCAGUGGGUUUUCUUUGAUACUUUCUUUGAUGAUCCCUUUCAAAGCCCUGUGCUUAUUAUGGUAGUUGAAAGGCAAAACUAUGACUAAGCAAAACUAUGACUAUAAAAGAAGAAGUAUCUUCUUUUAUAUUAUCUGCGAGUUUGCAUUUUUCAGUUGUUUUUUGUGCCUGGACGUGAUGGCAGACAAUGGGUGCAAGAAGUGCUGUACAGAUUGAGGCUCUGACUGCAACUGGAGCCAGCCCAUUCAGGGUCAGAUGCACCCACACACGCUGGCUAUCACACAGUGCCCCUUUUCAUCUUCUCUAAUGAAAGCAAAGUCACUACCACGAGCUACAGAGAUCUCCUAGGGCAGACAAAUUUCUAUUUUUGUGUCAGAGAUCAGCAUGUUAAUUUUGUUUCCUUUUCCAGUGUCAUGUCACUCGAUUGAGGGAGGUGAUCCUCUCUCUCUACUUGCCUGUUGUGGAACUCCAUCUGGAGUAGUGCAUCUGGCCCAGGGGUCCCCAAUGGAUGAAGGAUGUGUGCCUGCCAGGUGAAAACUGAAGGAGGGUAAAGCGAGCUCUGGGAUGUAUUAGUUGACCCACCAAUGUGCUAUGGCUGCAAGAAAAGCAAAUGUAACUCCAAGGUGUAUCAAAUAGGAUCUUUUCAGUGGUUCACAUGGAGAGUUUCAUUGACCCUUGAGUAUAAUGUAAUUUCAGUAUGAAAUACAGUUCUGGCCUCUUCAGUACAGUAAAGAUGAAUCCAACUGAAACUGAGACCCUUGUGUAAACAGGAUAAUUAAGGGGAGCGAAGCAUAAGCAUCCUUUCAAUUGUGGGUGAUUAAAAGAAACUCUUGUUUAACUAAGCAAAACAAAGCUUGAGAGGGGUUCUUGUUUGCAUCUGUAAGCAAAAUGGAAGAGUAAAAAUGGGAAAAAAUAUAACUACUAUUUAUGUGAAAGAACAUUACUGGUAAAAGAACAUUUGGUAUAAAGUGGCUGUAAAUAAAUGUAGAUUGGAAAUUAAAAGGUUUUGUUCUCAACAGUACAGCUUGUGAAAAGCCGGGAAAGCUUCUCCACAGGAAUCAGGAGGGAUCAAAAACCGAAAUCAGUUCUUAGAUGAGUGUGAUUCGUUUGUGAAAGGGAUUUUACAAUACAAGUUCCCUAUAAUAGAAAGGGACUGGUUCCUGUGCCCUUGCAUUAAUUCUCUGCUAUUGAGGUUCUUCAUUUUGCACCUCAAGCAUCUGGGACUAGCCACUGUCAGAGACAGACUAAUGAACUAAAAGUACCACAACUGCACCAAAAUAGCAUUAACUAGUGCUGUUACUUAAAAUAUUUUAACGCAGUAAUUGUAUAGAGUUCAGAGGGAUUAACAGCUGUCAGGGGUGAUGAAUGCCCCAAACUGUUCUUAAUUCUAAAUGGAAAAAGCUAAAAACCUCCCAGUAUGGAAAAGAAUGACAGUCACCAGUGCAUGAAUGCUUUUCCACAUUGAAUGGAAGAAGAGGGCUGUAACAACUUUCACAUGAAUAUGCAAAAGAAAAGGUGCAUUUCUAGUAAUUUCAGCGCUGUUAUGCCAGGGAUGACAGUGCUCCAGUGAUUUUAAAGUGAAGGCAGCACCCAAAACACCGAAGGAAUAAAACAAAAAGAUACCAUUGUUUUCAUUAUCUACAUCAGACAAUAAUUGUAAGUGCUCAAAAUAUUCUCCGAUUCUUUUCAUGGGGAUGCAUAGGUGAAGUCCUUCCUCUGUUUUUCCUUUUAGAGGACAAAUCAGCGAUGAGUAUGAGAUUUCUUCCUUUAUACUUGUUUAGACAAGCCAACAGCUAUAGACUGCUUGUAAGGAAGAAAGGAUCGCUGCGGAACGAAGCCAAAAUGAUGCUACCCGUAGGUGGCAGCAGUAGCUGCUGCUGUUGCUGCCUGUCAGUGCCGCUCCAAUUCAGCCUUGGGAGCCAGACGAGGUUUAAACCAAUUGACCUGAUCCUCUGAGUCGCUAAAGAGCUAUUCCAGAGAUCUUAAAAUGGGGUCAUGCACUGAACUCCUUGCAGAAUCCACCAGAAGAGUGCAUCUUCCUGGAAGCUGGUUCAAUUGCCAGAGAUAACCCUGCUGUGAUUUCUUGAAGGAAGGAGGAAUCCUGCAGUGGGAUUGCCAGAGAGGACUUUCUGUGCUGCAUUUUAAUUGAUCCUCAGAGAUCUGGUUCAUACUGGCAGAAGAUUUGGAAAAAAUAUAUAAUUUCCAGGCAAGUGAAAAAGAAAGGAGUAGAUUGGAAUUUGGGGCUCAUCUCUACUGGUGCAACCUUUCCUCCCUAGGGAUUAUUGUGCGUUGGCUUUUUAACUUUCUGGAAAUGCAUCUAUUAUUUAGUUUUCCCCAGUAUCUCAGGCAGGGCAGUGCAAAUAUACAAGACAAAGUCAGCAGCCUAUGUGUGCUUUUUAAGAAGGACAUGAUAUCUGUAAAGAGAAUUAGGAUCAGGAGCUGUGUGAUGGUGUGUGCAAGGAUGCAGGAGCAAUCUGGGUGUGUUGCCAGCAGUUUUAAAGUUUUACCACUGUCAUAUGAGGACGGUAAUACUGUAGUGGCCUCUGGUAUAGCAGGCAUUGUGUGCAGUGCAGAAAGUGUGGGUUUGAGGGAAGAUUUUAAGGAUGAGGCAGAGAAGAGGCUUUGUGGAGUAGCCCAGAGGUGUCUUCCAGGUGUAGAUGUGCAAAAGAAAGAUUACAAGCAUUAGCAGUAGGUAAAAAUGUGUGUAGAGGGUACAGACAUGAACUUAAAUUGGUGAAAGGAGGACAGAAGAGAUGAUCAUAAAGGUUUGAAAAACAGGCUGAGAAUAUAUGACAGAGCCAGAGCUGGGAGAGCAAUGGGGAAAGACACUAAAGGGGGCUGGAGGAACCUGAAUAUGGGCCAGAGGACUGAUGGCAGCAGUGACAUUUUGUACUGGGCUGAGGGUCUGAAAUGGAUGUCAGGCACAAUUUGGGUUGUCAUGUAAAGAAAGGAAGAGGCAGAUGUAGAGAAAGUAAAUGGAGGUGAAAAGUGGAUGGCCAUUACUUGCUGUUCAUUUUCUUGUGGGACAGUUAAGCAGUGAAUCAAUUUUGAUACCAAGCAAUUGUGUAGAUUAUAAGUUAAGCAAUGAGGAAGUUAUACAGCAAAUCAUUCCUGAUAUUAAAUAAAAAUGGGGAGAAUCAACAGCAAUAGGAAUCAAUUAUUCAGAGAACUAUUACCAAAGUCCGUUGGUUAAGUAGAGAAACAUUUAUACCAUAAGAGAAUGAAUAAAUUAAUUAUCAAGUGGGACCAUAAUGCUGAGAAUUAAUUAUGCAGAAUCUUUCUUUGUGAUAAGAGGCAUGUCUGAAGUAGCUUCAUGCACAGAAAAAAAAUACAAAACAAAACCGUAAAAACAGGUGCAAAACUAAUGAAGACACAAGUCCUGCACCAGUUGUCAGACCCUUUGUGACAUCCUCUCAUCCUUCUCUUUGGGCUAGACUAACCUGUGUUGCAGUAGGUACUGAAGCAAUUGCAGAAGCAGGGCAGAGAGAGCCUGUUUCUUCACCAAGCCUUCCUUCACUGGGAAAGUGGACAUAAGAUAAAAGAAGUUCAGAGAUGACUUUGUGGCUCUGACAGGUGGGAUGUAGAAGGAGUUCAUGGUCUCUGAAGUCAUCUAAGCAGCACAGAGAGGCUCAGGGUUCUUCAUGGCCCCUGGAUUACUCAGUCAGACUGUGUACUUUCUACCAAAGAGACUGAAAGCUGGAUUCUCCUCUGCCCUGCAUUGAUUUCCAGCUCUGAAAAAUAGGUGUCAACCAUUAGCAGAGAAAUGUUUUCAUUUUGUCAGUUGUCUCUACAGUUACAGCUGGAUUAAAAACAACCCACCUUUUGGAAACUACACUCCCUGCUAACAUCAAGUGUAAGGAUUCUGCUUCAAGAGACAUCUAUCUUACUUUAAACAGAUAAAAAUGCAAGGUAGACCCCAAGGUGGUGGAAAACAAAUUUCCAAGUCUUCAUUCCUGUGGUAUCAAUGAAACAUACUGAUUUAUACAGGGGACACAAUAUGCUGUAUAAUCUUUUCUUUAAAAAGAAAAAAAAUAAAGAAAAAAAAAGAGAAAAGCUGAAUAAGCUAAACCCCCAAAACCCUGCAAGAGAGAAAGGAAUCUGUAACAUCUUUGAGAGAACAACAUGUCUUACCAGUUAAACACUUAAACCCUUUACCUAGACAACACUUCCAUCUAAUCCUGUGAUAGAUUGGCUUGACUUCUGGAUCCAACUGAGAAGAAAUGCUGAACUAAAUUCUUCCAACUAUUAUCUGUUCCAAGUCUAGUUGGAUUCCUAAGAUGCCUGGCAAAAAGCUACUCUCUUUGCUCCCAUUCCCCUGGCUCACCAAGGUUAAGUUUUCUAUUUCUCACUACAGCUCAGAAGAGCAAUAGUGAAGCAGUCAGUCUGUCUGUCUGUCUGUAGAUAACCAAAUCUGUAGCCUCCCCUUUGGCCAACACUGCAGUACAGAAUAUUGUUUAAAACAUGUUCUUUCACACAAACAAGUCAAGAUAUAGGUUCAAUUGAAGCAUUUAUUAUUUUUUCCAACAAGGUUUAAUGCUAUAUUUUUUUGUUAGAGAGAUUAAGUUAUAUGGUAUGUUCUAAUGGUAAUAAUAAAAACAUGGUAAUAGCUGUUCAUAUGUUUUAGCAAAAAUAUUGUGAAACUAGUAACAGAAACUUCUUAAUACA